RNAcentral lists this long non-coding RNA (737 nucleotides) under Betta splendens (Siamese fighting fish). RNAcentral describes it as "lncRNA (ENSBSLG00000009064.1)". Lineage: Eukaryota; Metazoa; Chordata; Actinopteri; Anabantiformes; Osphronemidae. The record is from RNAcentral.
UGUUUUCCGCCAAUCGGACCAAUCAGAGGUUGGAGGGGCGGGGUGUGACGUCAUGUAGCGCGUAACCUUGAAUUAGUCAAAACAGUUGACAGCAGCAGCCGGCUGUUGGAAACCUACUGGACCUUCUGAGGAAUUAUGCCUAGUUUGGUGGUGGAUGCAGAUAUUGUGACGACGAGGAGAUUGGGACCAGAACACUCCGUGGACCCGCACAGUGUGGACGCACCUGCCGCUGCUGGUGAUUCCACUCAUCUAAGCAUCAUCUUUCUUCAGUCUUCGUCCAGUUCGUCGUCUCAAGUAGUCUCGGGACAUUUGGAGGUGGAGAAGCAGCGUUUGGCAGAGUGAGCAGCCAAGUCUUCAUCUGUUUGUGUGGGAGUAGAGGAGCAUCACGUGUCUUAGGUAAUGAUGCAAGGUAAUAAUUAUAAACUGCAAGAUUUUUGCCAGACUCAAGUGAAACAUCAACCUUGGGAUAAAAUGAGUUUUCCUUCAGUCCUCUGUGUGUGUGCGUGCUGAUCUGCUGAUCGGUAAUGAGUGCAACAAAGAUCACUUUAGGAACAUUGAAAUUACACUUAAUCAGGUUGCUGUAUGAUGAUUGCUUAGCUCUCCAGUCCACAAUCCAUAAAUUUAACUCAUUAUGGAGUCAAGCCUCAAAAUCAGCCCACUGGUAAUUACAAUCAGAUAAUGCAGUUGCAGUAAUUAUAAUGAUUGAGAUAGUAAUAAAAUAUUUCAUCAGAUAAUCA